Molecule: ribosomal RNA, 301 nt
Filed under: uncultured bacterium
Lineage: Bacteria
Description: partial 16S ribosomal RNA
Rfam family: Bacterial small subunit ribosomal RNA
Source: RNAcentral
CAGUAGCCACGGUAAUGCGUAGGGUGCGAGCAUUAAUCGGAAUUACUGGGCGUAAAGCGUGCGCAGGCGGUUUUGUAAGACAGGCGUGAAAUCCCCGGGCUCAACCUGGGAAUGGCGCUUGUGACUGCAAAGCUAGAGUGCGGCAGAGGGGGAUGGAAUUCCGCGUGUAGCAGUGAAAUGCGUAGAUAUGCGGAGGAACACCGAUGGCGAAGGCAAUCCCCUGGGCCUGCACUGACGCUCAUGCACGAAAGCGUGGGGAGCAAACAGGAUUAGAUACCCGGGUAGUCCCUGUCUCUUAUAC